CAGCCGCCGCGGUAAUACGUAGGGUGCAAGCGUUAAUCGGAAUUACUGGGCGUAAAGCGUGCGCAGGCGGCUUUGCAAGACAGAUGUGAAAUCCCCGGGCUUAACCUGGGAACUGCAUUUGUGACUGCAUGGCUAGAGUGCGGCAGAGGGGGAUGGAAUUCCGCGUGUAGCAGUGAAAUGCGUAGAUAUGCGGAGGAACAUCGAUGGCGAAGGCAAUCCCCUGGGCCUGCACUGACGCUCAUGCACGAAAGCGUGGGGAGCAAACAGGAUUAGAGACCCCCGUAGUCCCUGUCUCUUAUAC
RNAcentral lists this ribosomal RNA (301 nucleotides) under uncultured bacterium. RNAcentral's name for it is "partial 16S ribosomal RNA". It matches the Rfam family "Bacterial small subunit ribosomal RNA", at positions 509 to 807 of the family's 1533-position model. The record is from RNAcentral.